This 437-nucleotide ribosomal RNA is filed under the name uncultured bacterium. RNAcentral's name for it is "partial 16S ribosomal RNA". It matches the Rfam family "Bacterial small subunit ribosomal RNA", at positions 29 to 507 of the family's 1533-position model. The record is from RNAcentral.
AGCGAACGCUGGCGGCAGGCUUAACACAUGCAAGUCGAGCGGGCAUCCUUGUGGUGUCAGCGGCAGACGGGUGAGUAACGCGCGGGAACGUGCCCUUCGGUUCGGAAUAACUCAGGGAAACUUGAGCUAAUACCGGAUACGUGCGAGAGCAGAAAGGUUUAUCUGCCGAAGGAUCGGCCCGCGUCUGAUUAGCUAGUUGGUGAGGUUACGGCUCACCAAGGCGACGAUCAGUAGCUGGUCUGAGAGGAUGAUCAGCCACACUGGGACUGAGACACGGCCCAGACUCCUACGGGAGGCAGCAGUGGGGAAUAUUGGACAAUGGGGGCAACCCUGAUCCAGCCAUGCCGCGUGAGUGAUGACGGCCUUAGGGUUGUAAAGCUCUUUUCUCCGGGACGAUAAUGACGGUACCGGAGGAAUAAGCCCCGGCUAACUUCGUG